This 464-nucleotide ribosomal RNA is filed under the name uncultured Klebsiella sp. RNAcentral describes it as "bacterial SSU rRNA". It matches the Rfam family "Bacterial small subunit ribosomal RNA", at positions 338 to 795 of the family's 1533-position model. The record is from RNAcentral. Lineage: Bacteria; Pseudomonadati; Pseudomonadota; Gammaproteobacteria; Enterobacterales; Enterobacteriaceae.
CCUACGGGAGGCUGCAGUGGGGAAUAUUGCACAAUGGGCGCAAGCCUGAUGCAGCCAUGCCGCGUGUGUGAAGAAGGCCUUCGGGUUGUAAAGCACUUUCGGCGGGGAGGAAGGCGGUGAGGUUAAUAACCUCAUCGAUUGACGUUACCCGCAGAAGAAGCACCGGCUAACUCCGUGCCAGCAGCCGCGGUAAUACGGAGGGUGCAAGCGUUAAUCGGAAUUACUGGGCGUAAAGCGCACGCAGGCGGUCUGUCAAGUCGGAUGUGAAAUCCCCGGGCUCAACCUGGGAACUGCAUUCGAAACUGGCAGGCUAGAGUCUUGUAGAGGGGGGUAGAAUUCCAGGUGUAGCGGUGAAUGCGUAGAGAUCUGGAGGAAUACCGGUGGCGAAGGCGGCCCCCUGGACAAAGACUGACGCUCAGGUGCGAAAGCGUGGGGAGCAAACAGGAUUAGAUACCCGAGUAGUC